RNAcentral lists this long non-coding RNA (419 nucleotides) under Oryza brachyantha (malo sina). RNAcentral describes it as "long non-coding RNA (OBRA_LNC003528)". Lineage: Eukaryota; Viridiplantae; Streptophyta; Magnoliopsida; Poales; Poaceae. The record is from RNAcentral.
UCAGUAUUUAACACUCAAUUCAUACCACCUUCAGGAUUUAACAUCUAAUUCGCAUGGCUUUCGAAUUUCACCACUGAAAGUGUGAAUUCUUCUAUUUGGUACCCCUUUCAUCUCUUUUUCUGAAUUUAAUUUCUUUUCUCUCACUUUCUUCUCUCAAGAAACAUAAUAUUUCCCUCUUGCCCCUACGCCCACAGCACAGAAGUGAUCAAUCUCUUCUUUUGGGAUCGAUCGAUCCAGAUUAAGACAAAGAGAUGCCGUAUUGACCCUCUUUAGGACGCCGUUCUGCCACUUCCAUCCACGGGACAUCGUCAUAUCAUCCUUCUCCAGCGCUGGCUCGACCUGCUCCGGCUGAAGCGCACCCCACCGUUCACCGUUGGAACCACGACAUGAUUGUGUUGCAAGUAGGUUUCCAUUGUGGC